RNAcentral lists this ribosomal RNA (447 nucleotides) under uncultured bacterium. RNAcentral's name for it is "SSU rRNA". It matches the Rfam family "Bacterial small subunit ribosomal RNA", at positions 26 to 518 of the family's 1533-position model. The record is from RNAcentral.
AGAGCGAACGCUGGCGGCAGGCUUAACACAUGCAAGUCGAGCGGGCGUAGCAAUACGUCAGCGGCAGACGGGUGAGUAACGCGUGGGAACAUACCUUUUGGUUCGGAACAACACAGGGAAACUUGUGCUAAUACCGGAUAAGCCCUUACGGGGAAAGAUUUAUCGCCGAAAGAUUGGCCCGCGUCUGAUUAGCUAGUUGGUGAGGUAAUGGCUCACCAAGGCGACGAUCAGUAGCUGGUCUGAGAGGAUGAUCAGCCACAUUGGGACUGAGACACGGCCCAAACUCCUACGGGAGGCAGCAGUGGGGAAUAUUGGACAAUGGGCGCAAGCCUGAUCCAGCCAUGCCGCGUGAGUGAUGAAGGCCCUAGGGUUGUAAAGCUCUUCGCUAGGGACGAUAAUGACGGUACCUAGACAAGAACGCCCGGCUAACUUCGUGCCAGCAGCCGC